RNAcentral lists this ribosomal RNA (269 nucleotides) under uncultured bacterium. Its description in RNAcentral is "partial 16S ribosomal RNA". It matches the Rfam family "Bacterial small subunit ribosomal RNA", at positions 333 to 618 of the family's 1533-position model. The record is from RNAcentral.
AUGGUCCUACGGGACGCAGCAGUGGGGAAUAUUGCACAAUGGGGGAAACCCUGAUGCAGCGACGCCGCGUGAGCGAAGAAGUAUUUCGGUAUGUAAAGCUCUAUCAGCAGGGAAGAAAAAUGACGGUACCUGAGUAAGAAGCACCGGCUAAAUACGUGCCAGCAGCCGCGGUCAUACGUAUGGCGCAAGCGUUAUCCGGAUUUACUGGGUGUACAGGGAGUGCAGGCGGUGCGGUAAGUCUGAUGUGUUAGCUCGGGGCUCAACCCCGG